This 760-nucleotide ribosomal RNA is filed under the name Stenotrophomonas acidaminiphila. RNAcentral describes it as "bacterial SSU rRNA". It matches the Rfam family "Bacterial small subunit ribosomal RNA", at positions 26 to 775 of the family's 1533-position model. The record is from RNAcentral. Lineage: Bacteria; Pseudomonadati; Pseudomonadota; Gammaproteobacteria; Lysobacterales; Lysobacteraceae.
GAGACAACUCGGAGCGGGGGGCCCGUAAAUGCAGUCGUGCCCGGCGGUCACAGUAAGAGCUUGCUCUUACGGGUGGCGAGUGGCGGACGGGUGAGGAAUGCAUCGGAAUCUACUCUGUCGUGGGGGAUAACGUAGGGAAACUUACGCUAAUACCGCAUACGACCUACGGGUGAAAGCAGGGGAUCUUCGGACCUUGCGCGAUUGAAUGAGCCGAUGCCCGAUUAGCUAGUUGGCGGGGUAAGAGCCCACCAAGGCGACGAUCGGUAGCUGGUCUGAGAGGAUGAUCAGCCACACUGGAACUGAGACACGGUCCAGACUCCUACGGGAGGCAGCAGUGGGGAAUAUUGGACAAUGGGCGCAAGCCUGAUCCAGCCAUACCGCGUGGGUGAAGAAGGCCUUCGGGUUGUAAAGCCCUUUUGUUGGGAAAGAAAAGCAGCCGGUUAAUACCCGGUUGUUCUGACGGUACCCAAAGAAUAAGCACCGGCUAACUUCGUGCCAGCAGCCGCGGUAAUACGAAGGGUGCAAGCGUUACUCGGAAUUACUGGGCGUAAAGCGUGCGUAGGUGGUUGUUUAAGUCUGUCGUGAAAGCCCUGGGCUCACCUGGGAAUGGCGAUGGAAACUGGGCGACUAGAGUGGGGCAGAGGGUAGUGGAAUUCCUGGUGUACAGUGAAAUGCGUAAAGAUCAGGAGGAACAUCCGUGGCAAAGGCGAUUGCCUGGGCAACACUGACCUGAAGGCCCAAAAGCGUGGGGGACAAACAG